AACAGUUUACAGGGAUCAACAUUGUCGCUUUCUAUUCACCAAACCUCUUUCAAUCUGUGGGUUUAGGAAACAACGGUGCUUUACUUUCUGCCGUUAUUCUUGGACUCGUCAACCUUGCUUCUAUCCUAGUCUCAACUGCUUUUGUCGAUCGGUUUGGUCGAAGAUUCUUGUUCAUUACGGGUGGCAUUCUAUUGCUUGUCUGUCUGGUAAGCAAAUUAAGCAACCAUAUGUGUAUAAUAUUAUUUAUAUUUAUUUAUUGUUCUAGUAUUUUCAUACUCUCAACUACUAAAAAAAUGAAAUAACUGCAGAAAGGUUGCGGUACUAAUGCUUUUUCCGUCUCUAAAUUUUCGUCCUUAUUUUAAUUUCUCCGUCUAGUCGUUAUACCAGUGUUAUUGGUACUAAUAAUUAUAAUUUGUGUUGACACUUUGAAAGAUCACGGUGUCUGCUUUGCUAGCUUUGGCGACUGGUGUUGAUGGUACAAAGCACAUGUCAAAGGGAAAUGCAACAUUGGUAUUGGUUUUACUAUGUUUCUACGCCGCAGGUUUUGGUUGGUCUUGGGGUCCACUCACCUGGCUAAUUCCAAGUGAAAUUUUCCCCUUAAAAAUCAGAACAACUGGACAAAGUAUAGCAGUUGGUGUACAAUUCAUAAUCUUGUUUAUGUUAUCACAAACAUUCUUGACAAUGCUAUGCCACUUCAAGUUUGGUGCUUUCUUGUUCUAUGCAUUUUGGGUUGCAGUGAUGACUCUAUUUAUCAUUUUCUUUUUGCCUGAGACCAAAGGAAUUGCUUUGGAGUCAAUGUAUAUUAUAUGGGGCAAACAUUGGUAUUGGCGGCGGUUUGUUAAAGGAGAUGUUGACAAGGACAAUCUUCCAUGAAGAAAAUAGUUCAAUCACUUCAUAUUCUAUGUAAAGUUAUUUGUAUGCAAAUUGAUUAUAGGUGUUGGCUCUGCUACACUUCUUAUAGAUAUGAAAAUAAUUGCUUGAAAGAUCAUAUUAGUGUAUUAUAUAAGUUUAUGUAAUCCCUUUUUUAGUUAGAGUUCAAGUUGAUGCUUAUGGCUUUCAAAGUUUAUGAUAAAAACUUAGGUUUAGUCUUUUGUGCAGAGGUUAUUAUCAAGGAUAAAAUGCAGGGUUUGUUCUGUUCUGGUGGAGGCUGUUAUUUUGAACAAAAGCUUCUAUACAUAUUGAGAACUUAUAAGAGCUUAUGUAAGUAAGGCAAAUAUAAUUUGGCCUUUUAGAAUUUGAUAUUUUGAUGUUUUUGAGCUGACUGUAUUUCUGUAUGUAACCAAUCACUAGGUGUGUAGCCAAACUCUAUUUUGGCUAAUCUUUAGCAUAAGACUAGUCUCUUGCAAUAUAAUAACCAAUACAAUUAUUUUGUUAAAACAAAUUAGACUUAAAUGUAUUUUCGCUCGCUCUAUUUUGCCUAAACUAAAUCUUAUUGUUCCUAAACUAAAGUUUUAGUCCCCAUAUUUAUAAAUUGAGUUCAUAUGUUAAAAUUUAUGUAUAGGAGAGGAGAUGGCUUUCUGUAGUAAAAAAAUUUGAUUUGAAUAGUUUCUACAAUAAAAAUUUCUGGUUUCAUUUAACAAAAAAAAUUCAAUAUAUGUUAAUGUGAAUUUAGUAGGUAUUUGUCAAUGUCAACUAUACGAAUAUACCGUGCAUUUUGUUUGUACUUCAUCUGUCUCUGUUCGUCUUAUGUAGAGUUCGAAUUUUUAAUAAAUUUUUCCUGAUUCAAAAAAAAAAAAACUAUAUGAAUGACUUUCUAUGAUUAAAAAACUUAUUUGAAUGGUUGACACAACAACAAUUUUCGUUUCAUUUUCUCAAAAAAAUCGUUUCAUUUAACCAAAAAAAAAUUCAUUAUGUUAAUGUGUAUUUAUUAGGCAAAUGUCAACGAUAUGAAUGCCUUUCUAUGAUAAAAAUUUGAUCUGAUUUGUUUUCCAAUAACAGGACACGUGGCAUUGGCAUUGUUAGGGCAUUUUAGGUUGCCACGUGGAUUAGCCAUUGGUUAUGUUCAAAUGUAUGUAUAGUGGAUGGAUAGUGUAUUUCCCUAAAAUCAAUUUCCUAUCCCGCUAUUCCAAAACCGUGUCUUGCUCUCAUAACCGGUCUCACUCUUUCAUAAUCUUAAAAUCAAUUUUACUGUUAAUUUUAAUUUCUCAAGCACUUCAAUCAAUAUCUUCCAAAAACUAGAUUUAAGAUUUCUCAAGCUCUUCAAUCAAUUUCUCAAGCUCUUCAAGGUAUGCUUAUCUUCCCUUCAGAUUCGAGGAAACUCAGUUUUUUUUUUUUUUUUUUUUUUUUUUUUUUUUUUUUAAAUUUCUCAAGCUUUUUAAGGUAUCACCAUUCACUCUCUCUAUUACAAUAUGUAUUCUCUUCAACAAAUCAACCAUGUUUCCAUAAACUUGUACCUGAUUCUUAGUUCAAUUUUAGGAUUUAUUUUAUUUUACUUAUUAAGGUUUUUGGUGUGCUUAACUACCUAGACCUGGAUUCACGUUUGCUGUUGAAAUGUAGUGGCGGGAUUUUGCUGUUCCAAUUGGGUGUACAUUGUGGUUUGUGUUAUAUUAGGGUUUUUAUUGAUUUGUUAUGUAUUGACUGGUGCUAGUCACAACCAAUACCAAAAUUGCCCUCUUCAUGUAAAUUUUUAAAAACCCAUCUUUUAUGAUCAUUCUGAACCCUUACCCUNUACCUUGUUAUCAUCAAAACUCUUAAGGGUUAAUGUUAAACACAUUUUGUUCCAACACUUUGAGGUUGGAUCUAUAACCCAAUUUUUUUUCUUCAGAUUGAGGUUUAUGAAAAGUGGAAUCUUAUUUUGCGCAUGAAGGGGAAGUUUUUGUCGACUUCAUAGCGCUAACUAAAUUUUAUCGCCUAAAUGGAUAUGGUUUAAAGUUGCGGUCGCAGAUGCUACUAUGGAGUGAAACUACAAUUGCACGCAUUUUGGUUGUGGUUUUUGUAUAUAAAUGUUAGUUGUUAGUAUGUUAUGUUAGUUUCCAAGACGUAGCUCAAGUGAUGGGCCAAAGACAUUUGAAUGAUUGUGAGCAGGAGAAUAUUAACUUUGUCAUUCACAAAUAAAUCCUAAUAUAAAAAAAUUAUUAUUCUUAUAUCUAAUAUUAUUAAGAUGAGUAUAAUUUUACAUUAUUAUUCUUAUGAAUAAAUUUUGUAAAUUUAAAAUUUAAGUUGUUUUUGUUCAAAUUGUUCAUUUUUAAAGAAAAAUAAAUAUCAUAUUAUUAGUUUAAAUCCUUGAAAAAAAAGUAUUAUUAGUUUAAAUGUAGUAAAAUAAAUCUAAAAUAUCAACUACCUUAAUAUUGUAAUUAUAUAAAAAAAAUAUUAAAAUAAAUACAACAGCUCAAGAAUUACCUGUGGGCGUUGAAGAGGCAAUUGAAGAGCAUUAACUAGUGGGCGUUUUGCAUUGUUUAUGCUUGCAGCUGUUGAUGAGACUAUUGUAGAGACAUGCACUAAGAGGAAGGACUAUUUGUUGAAAUGAGUAGUCAAUUACUUUUUUUUUUUGAAAGAAGAGUAUUCAAUUACUUGUACAACUUUUAAUUGAAAUGAAAAUACAUACCAGCAAAUGAGUAUUAUUUAUUUGACUUUAAUUUGUCUCUCUCAUAGUUUUUAUGAUGUGUCAUGCUUUGAUUGGAUGAGACCAUAUCCUAUUUGUUGGUCAUGAGACCAACCAAGAAUUGCUAGAAUAGUUAUGCAGAUUUAGUAGUCGAUGAUGACACUCACCGCAUUGAUGUCGCCGGAAACAACAACUAAGAUGGAGACGAUGACGACGACGACAGUGACAACCUUGGUCUCGCCGGAAACAACAAAAUGACGACGAAGACAACAUAUACGACGAUGACGAUGACGUGAUAAUUCCAUUCUUUUCGGUGAAAAAUACAACAACAUUAACGAGACCCUUAGAUUCUUCUUCUCCCCUUCCAUACAAUAAAUCAAAUACACAAUGUUCAAAACUUUCAAUUUUCCAAAAUAUAAUCUGCUUCUUAUAUUGAUCAUCGAAAAAGUGAUUCCGGAAAUAGGGUUGAGUUAAUUUAUUUAUGUGAAUUUUGUCUCGUUGUCGUAACUAAGAUCACACCCUUUGUGCUUACCCAUUAUGCUUGCCGUUGUUGUCGUCGUCAUCUCUAUUGUCUUUAUGGUUGAUGUUUUCGGCAAGGCCAUCGUUGCCGGCGUGGUCAUCCUUGUCCUCUCCACACUCGGUGGCAUCACAACACAGUGACACACUUUCUCUCUCUUAUUUUUUUUUUCUUCACAAAUUUUCUUUUUUUCUUUUUUAAUGACUAAUUCUCUCUCUUCGUCAGUGUCAUAACAUACAUUCUUGGAAUUAUAUUUUAAUGCAUAUGACUAAGUACAUGUUUGCUUCUGCGUUAUACAAACCACGUUUUCCAUAAAAUCACACAACUCACAUGUUAACGCAAAAGCUUCAAAUGCUAGCUUAUACUUCUUCCGUUCUAAAUUGUAUGACAUUUUGGACAUUUCACACAUAUUAAGAAAUGCAAUUAAUAUUGUGUGGAAAAGAGAUAUUAUGAGUUGUUUUACAAAAUUGUCUUUAAUAAAUAAUAUGAGAAAAAUAAAUGAAAGAAUUGAAAGAAGAGAGAGUAAUAAAUAAUUAAAGUUAUAAUAGGAAAAGUAACAUUAAUGUUGCAUUGGUAUUUUAAAACGACAUAAAUUUUGAGACAAAUUUUUUUCCCUAAAGCGACAUAUAAUUUGGGACAAAGGGAGUAAAAAUUAAGUCAAAUUUGCUUUGGAAAUCUCGCAGACCUGCGUUUGUGGUUGCAAAACAAACAAGAGGGAAACUCCAAAUCAUUUCCCUUUCAUGUUUUGCAAAACAACGAAAAAUAAAGUCAAGCACAACUGGUUUUUCUCAUAAAUGUUGGGGAGUAGGGGAUGAUGGGCCUGACUAAUUAAUGCACACCAAUUAUGUGAAAUAAGUGACAGAGUGAGCACACAAAAAGAAAAAAGUCCUACCGCAUAGUCAACGCUUCAAAGUAUAUAGUUGUAUUGACCACAAAGUGCCACGAUUCUUUUUCUUUUCUAACCACCAAUCUUUGAUGAUUUUGUUGAAAUGGUUUGGUGAUGAAUUGGUGAUAUUACGUUAAGAAUAUCAGAUUGGAUUGGACAUCAAAGGCUUACUCGUGCCUAACAUUUUAGCAAUAUCAAUCUAUUAGCUUAUCGUAACGUGUAAAGUUUACUAAAUUUAUUCAUAGAAAUAACAUUUCUUAAUGAAAAAGGAGAAUUUAAAAUAUUUUAGAGAACCUUUAUAAUACAAUGGUUAAUAAGUAUUUGCAUGUGAAUUUAAUCUCAUCCUCACGAUAUCUUUAUUCCCCGUGUUGCCAUGUAUGUCAACAUCAAGCGAGGACAAUGACAUUUUGUUUUGUUUUCCAAAAAUGUGUUUGCAUUGUUAGUUAGAGUGUUGGAAUUUGGAUUAAGUAGUUAUUAUUUUUCAGCAUCACUAACUUUUUUUCCUCUGAGCUUUAUCUAUACUCCUAGGUAGUAAGAAGAGCUUGCAGAUACACAGACACAGGAGAAGGUUGAAAAUGGCAGGUGGAGGGUUUGCCAUUGAUGCACCUUCCAAUGGCUUUGAUGGAAAGAUAACACUCUCAGUUAUCAUUACUUGUAUCGUUGCUGCAUCUAGUGGACUCAUUUUUGGAUAUGACAUUGGGAUUUCAGGUUUUCUUCCUUUUUGUUUUUUCAUUAUAAAGUAUCCAAUUAGACCAUGUUUUUUGCUUUCUAAAGUAUCUUGUAUUCUGCUACAUCAAUCAUUGCUCAAAAAUUGAAUGAUUUGAUCAUAUAACUCGAGAAUUAAACUCGACUCAGCAAGGUGUUUGUUUCUGUAGAAAAUUCUAAAAAAAUUGUACCUAUAAAAUGUCAAAAUCAUUAAAGAAAUUAACAUAAUUGCACAAGCUUAAUCAUCCAAUUUAAAACUAUUAUAGUAGAACAAAUCUAAAUAGGUUUUGGACAAAGUCUAAUUGCAUUUUAAUCAUGAUGCUAUACAUUAUUUUUACAUUUUAUCUUCAAAAUGUACUUGGAGAAGAACCAAAGUCAUAAAGCUCACCCUUUUUACUAAUGAAAAAUGUUAUCAAAUUCAGGAGGUGUUACAACAAUGGUGCCAUUUCUCAAUAAAUUCUUCCCAGAUAUUCUAAGAAAGGCAGCUGGUACUGAAGUAAAUAUGUACUGUGUGUAUGACAGUCAGAUGUUGACGUUGUUUACGUCCUCUCUGUAUCUAGCUGGGUUAGUGUCAACUCUUGUAGCUAGCAAAGUCACUGCAGCUAUCGGCAAAGUCACUGCAGCUAUCGGUCGAAGAAAUUCCAUCGUGUUGGGUGGUGCCAUCUUUCUUGCUGGUGCUGCUAUUAAUUGCGGUUCUGAAAAUAUUGCUAUGCUCAUCCUUGGUCGUAUUCUUCUUGGUUUUGGGGUCGGUUUCUCUAGUCAAGUAAAUGAACAUAUACAAUCAUACACAUUUGUUAAUAGUAGUAGUUCAACCUCGUCAACAAUAUAAAAUUUUCUAUUAUACAUAAGCAAUGAGACCAUUUCCCCUUUUUUUAGUUUAACUUUUAGCCGCAAUUUUAAAUAGCAACGUUGCCGCGAUUCUUGUUCUUAAAGAUAAUUGGGAUCAAAUAUAGUUGUAUCGUGGUCGCUGGGACAUAAAAAUCAUAAUGUUGUGGCCCAAAUUUUAAUAGCAUCCUUUAUUUAAAAUCUUGCUACUAACUUUUAACUUAAUAAACCUUGUUUAAAAUAAAUUUGCUUGCUAAUUGUAUUACAUGAUGCAAUUGGAAAAGGCGGCUCCACUAUACCUUUCUGAAAUUGCUCCACCAAAAUGGUGAGGUGCUUUCAGCACAGGCUUCCAACUCUUCUUAGGAGUUGGCGUGGUUGCAUAAAUUACGCGACUGCCAAGCAAACAUGGGGCUGGCGACUCUCUCUUGGACUAGCAGUGGUGCCUGGAGCCGUGAUGACAAUUGGUGCCUUCCUCAUAUCCGACACACCCAGCAGCUUGGUUGAACGUGGCAAGAUAGACCAAGCCAGGAAAGCAUUGCAAAAAAUCAGAGGAUCAUCCAUUGAUGUUGAGCCCGAGUUAGAAGAACUCUUUAAGUGGACAGAAAUUUCGAAAGCAGUGCAACAAGAGCCAUUUAUGACCAUAUUUGAGAGACAAUAUCGACCUCACUUGGUCAUGGCAUUUUCAAUCCCAUUUUUUCAACAGUUUACAGGGAUCAACAUUGUCGCUUUCUAUUCACCAAACCUCUUUCAAUCUGUGGGUUUAGGAAACAACGGUGCUUUACUUUCUGCCGUUAUUCUUGGACUCGUCAACCUUGCUUCUAUCCUAGUCUCAACUGCUUUUGUCGAUCGGUUUGGUCGAAGAUUCUUGUUCAUUACGGGUGGCAUUCUAUUGCUUGUCUGUCUG
RNAcentral lists this long non-coding RNA (7378 nucleotides) under Medicago truncatula (barrel medic). RNAcentral describes it as "long non-coding RNA (MTRU_LNC000898)". Lineage: Eukaryota; Viridiplantae; Streptophyta; Magnoliopsida; Fabales; Fabaceae. The record is from RNAcentral.